UACGUAGGGUGCAAGCGUUGUCCGGAUUUAUUGGGCGUAAAGAGCUCGUAGGCGGUCAGUCGCGUCGGAUGUGAAAACCCGGAGCUUAACUCCGGGCCUGCAUUCGAUACGGGCUGACUAGAGUGUUGUAGGGGAGACUGGAACUCCUGGUGUAGCGGUGAAAUGCGCAGAUAUCAGGAAGAACACCGGUGGCGAAGGCGGGUCUCUGGGCAACUACUGACGCUGAGGAGCGAAAGCGUGGGGAGCAAACAGG
Molecule: ribosomal RNA, 253 nt
Filed under: uncultured bacterium
Lineage: Bacteria
Description: partial 16S ribosomal RNA
Rfam family: Bacterial small subunit ribosomal RNA
Source: RNAcentral